Molecule: ribosomal RNA, 993 nt
Filed under: uncultured bacterium
Lineage: Bacteria
Description: bacterial SSU rRNA
Rfam family: Bacterial small subunit ribosomal RNA
Source: RNAcentral
GGGGAAUAUUGCACAAUGGGGGAAACCCUGAUGCAGCGACGCCGCGUGGAGGAAGAAGGUCUUCGGAUUGUAAACUCCUGUUGUUGGGGAAGAUAAUGACGGUACCCAACAAGGAAGUGACGGCUAACUACGUGCCAGCAGCCGCGGUAAAACGUAGGUCACAAGCGUUGUCCGGAAUUACUGGGUGUAAAGGGAGCGCAGGCGGGAAGACAAGUUGGAAGUGAAAUCUAUGGGCUCAACCCAUAAACUGCUUUCAAAACUGUUUUUCUUGAGUAGUGCAGAGGUAGGCGGAAUUCCCGGUGUAGCGGUGGAAUGCGUAGAUAUCGGGAGGAACACCAGUGGCGAAGGCGGCCUACUGGGCACCAACUGACGCUGAGGCUCGAAAGUGUGGGUAGCAAACAGGAUUAGAUACCCUGGUAGUCCACACCGUAAACGAUGAUUACUAGGUGUUGGAGGAUUGACCCCUUCAGUGCCGCAGUUAACACAAUAAGUAAUCCACCUGGGGAGUACGACCGCAAGGUUGAAACUCAAAGGAAUUGACGGGGGCCCGCACAAGCAGUGGAGUAUGUGGUUUAAUUCGACGCAACGCGAAGAACCUUACCAAGUCUUGACAUCCCUUGACAGGCAUAGAAAUAUGUUUUCUCUUCGGAGCAAGGAGACAGGUGGUGCAUGGUUGUCGUCAGCUCGUGUCGUGAGAUGUUGGGUUAAGUCCCGCAACGAGCGCAACCCUUAUGGUCAGUUACUACGCAAGAGGACUCUGGCCAGACUGCCGUUGACAAAACGGAGGAAGGUGGGGAUGACGUCAAAUCAUCAUGCCCUUUAUGACUUGGGCUACACACGUACUACAAUGGCGUUAACAGAGGGAAGCAAGACAGCGAUGUGGAGCAAACCCCUAAAAACAUUCUCAGUUCAGAUUGCAGGCUGCAACCCGCCUGCAUGAAGAUGGAAUUGCUAGUAAUCGCGGAUCAGCAUGCCGCGGUGAAUACGUUCCCG